AGGGUGUAAACGCUGCAGACUUGGUGCUGGGAACCCUUCGGGGGUGCUCAGUGCCGGAGAGAAGUUGUUAAGUCUGCUACUUGGGGAGUACGUCCGCAAGGAUGAAACUUAAAGGAAUUGGCGGGGGAGCACCGCAACGGGAGGAGCGUGCGGUUUAAUUGGAUUCAACGCCGAAAAACUCACCAGCAGCGACUGUUACAUGAAAGUCAGGUUGAUGACCUUACUAGAUUUUCAGAGAGGUGGUGCAUGGCGUCAGUGACU
Molecule: ribosomal RNA, 261 nt
Filed under: uncultured archaeon
Lineage: Archaea
Description: partial 16S ribosomal RNA
Rfam family: Archaeal small subunit ribosomal RNA
Source: RNAcentral